UUUCUUUUCCUCUCUGGCUCCCUCUCUCUCUCGAGAUUCAUUCUCUCAUCUUCUUUCACUCUCAUCUCUUCCAUCUCUAUACGUUUGAAAUCUCACCAACUCUCUCAUGUCUCACUUUUCAGAUAUGGUUAACUGAGAAAGGAUGGAGAUGAUAAUGUAGACGACGAAGACAGGGACUCGCUGGGACGAAGCGCCGAGGCUCACCGGAGAAGAAGACGCGCCGGAGUAGAUGAGACGGAGAAGAUGAUGUUUGGUGGUGGUGCAUAGGUCCGAGGAAGAGGUAGAAGAAGAAGAGGGGAAGGCGACGAGUUUCGUCGCUUCGGCGGUAGAUCUCGAAGAAGAUGGAUGAUACGGGGCUUCAGGGAGACGACCAUGAUGGCGGCGUGGAGAAGGUUCAAGUUCCGGUGUGCUGGAGCUCUUGUGAUGUACUCUCGGUGGAGGGAGGCGGCGGCAGUGACAUUAUAUUUUUUAAUUAAAUUUUAUUGUUAACUAGAUUUGUUUAGUUUUGUAAAUCUGUUUUAUUGUAAACCGGCCAAUUGUAAACCGAUUAAAUUUAUAAAACAAAUUUCUAUUUGGUUAA
This is a long non-coding RNA of Brassica oleracea var. oleracea, 580 nucleotides long. RefSeq lists it as uncharacterized. The record is from RefSeq and is a predicted model, not a curated record. Lineage: Eukaryota; Viridiplantae; Streptophyta; Magnoliopsida; Brassicales; Brassicaceae. The transcript is spliced from 2 exons.